This 572-nucleotide long non-coding RNA is filed under the name Cricetulus griseus (Chinese hamster). RNAcentral's name for it is "lncRNA (ENSCGRG00015032304.1)". Lineage: Eukaryota; Metazoa; Chordata; Mammalia; Rodentia; Cricetidae. The record is from RNAcentral.
GUCACUCUGACCAUGCCCUCACAAGCAUGGUCAGGCACACCUGUAGCCAGCCCCUAAGUAGGCAUGGCUACAGCUUCCCCUACACAGCUGCAGAAAGACACUGGACUAGACAGAGAAAACCACUGAACUGAAUCAGCCGGAGAAGAAAAACUUUGGAUACCAUAAAAGUUGAUCCGGUUACAGUGGAAAAGGAAAAACCUCUUUAUGAGGACAAAUGACAGGAAAACUCAUCUCCAGAAGGCAAAGGACACUGCAUGGGUAGAUGCUUAAGAAGAAAAGGUAGCUAUAACCAUCAAACAAAUGGAAAGUGCCUUAUGGUAAAAUUUACAGCUGUCUCUCAGAUAAUUCUAUUUCUCUUUAUUUCCUAGUUCCUAUUCAAUUAAACCAAUGCUGGAUUUAGAGGUGUAUUUGGCUUUCCCCCUCUAAAAUCCAAGCAGGUUGUUUAACUAAACUUUAGAGUUUCUGUAUUGUGUCAAGUAGCCAAUUGAUUAUACAGAAUAAGAGUUGAAUUUGGGGACUGCCUUUGUCUUUUCUUGGCUCUUUCCUUCAACAUGUACACACUCUCAUAAUUG